AUCGAGCUGACGAGUCUCAAAUAGGACGAAACGCGCGUCCUGGAU
Molecule: non-coding RNA, 45 nt
Organism: Schistosoma haematobium
Lineage: Eukaryota; Metazoa; Platyhelminthes; Trematoda; Strigeidida; Schistosomatidae
Source: Rfam